AAUAGAUACCCCGGUAGUCCACGCCGUAAACGAUGAGUGCUAGGUGUUGGGGGGGACCCCCCUCAGUGCCGCAGGUAACCCAAUAAGCACUCCGCCUGGGGAGUACGGUCGCAAGACUGAAACUCAAAGGAAUUGACGGGGGCCCGCACAAGCGGUGGAGCAUGUGGUUUAAUUCGAAGCAACGCGAAGAACCUUACCAGGGCUUGACAUCCCGCUGACCGGUGUAGAGAUAUGCCUUUCCCCUUCGGGGGACAGCGGUGACAGGUGGUGCAUGGUUGUCGUCAGCUCGUGUCGUGAGAUGUUGGGUUAAGUCCCGCAACGAGCGCAACCCUUAUAGUUAGUUGGAUUUUUCUAACUAGACUGCCUCGGUAACGGGGAGGAAGGAGGGGAUGAUGUCAGGUCCGUAUACCCUUACACCUGGGGCUAGAAACGCGCUACAAUGGCCGGUACAAUGGGCAGCCAAAUCGCAAGAUGGAGCUAAUCCCACCAAAGCCGGUCUCAGUUCGGAUUGGAGGCUGAAAUUCGCCUCCAUGAAGCCGGAAUCGCUAGUAACCGUAGGUC
Molecule: ribosomal RNA, 561 nt
Filed under: uncultured bacterium
Lineage: Bacteria
Description: bacterial SSU rRNA
Rfam family: Bacterial small subunit ribosomal RNA
Source: RNAcentral